This 60-nucleotide ribosomal RNA is filed under the name Plagiothecium platyphyllum. Its description in RNAcentral is "partial 26S ribosomal RNA". The record is from RNAcentral. Lineage: Eukaryota; Viridiplantae; Streptophyta; Bryopsida; Hypnales; Plagiotheciaceae.
CAGACCUCUAAUCGGAAAAGACUACCCGCUGAGUUUAAGCAUAUCAAUAGCCGGAAGGAA